Molecule: unclassified non-coding RNA, 222 nt
Filed under: Mycobacteroides abscessus
Lineage: Bacteria; Bacillati; Actinomycetota; Actinomycetes; Mycobacteriales; Mycobacteriaceae
Description: partial 16S-23S ribosomal RNA intergenic spacer
Source: RNAcentral
AAGCAGYACGUAAGUAMGUAGGUCWYYAGGUAGYGSAUCUACUGUGUGUGCAAUAUGUUAUUGUAAAUCCUGUCCACCCCCGUGGAUGGGUAGUCGGCAAAACUCGGACUGUCAUAAGAAUUGAAACGCUGGCACACUGUUGGGUCCUGAGGCAACACGUUGUGUUGUCMCCCUGCUUGGUGGUGGGGUGUGGACUUUGACUUYUAAGUGGUUGCAACAAAA